CAGCCGCCGCGGUAAUACGGAGGGUGCAAGCGUUAAUCGGAAUUACUGGGCGUAAAGCGCACGCAGGCGGUCUGACAAGUCAGAUGUGAAAUCCCCGGGCUUAACCUGGGAACUGCAUUUGAAACUGUCAGGCUGGAGUCUUGUAGAGGGGGGUGGAAUUCCAGGUGUAGCGGUGAAAUGCGUAGAGAUCUGGAGGAAUACCGGUGGCGAAGGCGGCCCCCUGGACAAAGACUGACGCUCAGGUGCGAAAGCGUGGGGAGCAAACAGGAUUAGAUACCCCAGUUAGUCCCUGUCUCUUAUA
Molecule: ribosomal RNA, 301 nt
Filed under: uncultured bacterium
Lineage: Bacteria
Description: partial 16S ribosomal RNA
Rfam family: Bacterial small subunit ribosomal RNA
Source: RNAcentral